RNAcentral lists this microRNA precursor (104 nucleotides) under Marmota monax (woodchuck). The record is from RNAcentral. Lineage: Eukaryota; Metazoa; Chordata; Mammalia; Rodentia; Sciuridae.
AGUGGCAUUGUUGGAUCAUAUAGUAAUUCUAUUUAUUAGUAUUUUUCAGACACCAUAAUGCUGUUUUUCAAAAUGGAUUACUAGUUUGCAUUCCCACCAGUAGU